AGAACGAACGCUGGCGGCAUGCCUAAUACAUGCAAGUCGAACGAACACUUCGGUGUUAGUGGCGCACGGGUGCGUAACGCGUGGGAAUCUGCCCUUGGGUUCGGAAUAACAGUUGGAAACGACUGCUAAUACCGGAUGAUAUCGAAAGAUCAAAGAUUUAUCGCCCAGGGAUGAGCCCGCGUAGGAUUAGCUAGUUGGUGAGGUAAAGGCUCACCAAGGCGACGAUCCUUAGCUGGUCUGAGAGGAUGAUCAGCCACACUGGGACUGAGACACGGCCCAGACUCCUACGGGAGGCAGCAGUAGGGAAUAUUGGACAAUGGGCGCAAGCCUGAUCCAGCAAUGCCGCGUGAGUGAUGAAGGCCUUAGGGUUGUAAAGCUCUUUUACCCGAGAUGAUAAUGACAGUAUCGGAGAAUAAGCCCCGGACUAACUCCGUGCCAGCAGCCGCGGUAAU
RNAcentral lists this ribosomal RNA (452 nucleotides) under uncultured soil bacterium. Its description in RNAcentral is "bacterial SSU rRNA". It matches the Rfam family "Bacterial small subunit ribosomal RNA", at positions 26 to 524 of the family's 1533-position model. The record is from RNAcentral.